Molecule: long non-coding RNA, 1683 nt
Organism: Styela clava
Lineage: Eukaryota; Metazoa; Chordata; Ascidiacea; Stolidobranchia; Styelidae
Source: RefSeq, a predicted model, not a curated record
AAAAAUUGGUAUGAAGCAGAAAAAAUACCAUGUAUGACUAGGAUGUAAAUUAUGGUUUAUAUUAAAAGUUCGUUCAAAACACGAUGAAAAGGCACCUAAAACGAGAACAAUAAAAACAAUAACGAAAAUAUCCGGAUCUUCGUCUGAAAAGACUAUUCCUCAAUUUUCAUACAAUUUAGAUAGAUGAUCCAAUGCACAAAAAGAAGUACUUUAGUUUACUGAUUGAAGAAUGUGAAUGAAUGGCCUUCGCAAGAAUUAUUAUUGUUUGUCAUAUAUCUGUCUAGAGGUGUGAUCAACAAUUUUAAUGCGACGACAAAUUUCAUCGAAUUAUACGUCAUUUAAUACGUGAGAUUACGUAAAUCUUUUGAUGUUGCGAGGAAUUAUAGAAUUGUCUUCAUGUUGCAAUGGCCGUGACGACGAUGCCAAUAUGUCACACAAUAAAAAUAACGGAUGUGUGAAAGCUUGUAAAAAUAAACGUGGUUAUGGUAAUAGGUUGAUGUUUUAAUGGCACAUUUAGGAUAAUUUUCACCUCGGAAAAACAAUUUUCACGCUUCGAAGUUGUCAGAGAAUGGCAUGGGCGCAAUUGAGGGCAAUGUAGGUUGCAAUAUGAUCCGAUAGGAAUCACCGAGUGAAAUACUAAGUUUUCUCAGUCUGGUAUACGAGCGGCGAUCAAAAACGCUCCGAUAUUUACUAUACGUUUCAUUUCAAUGUUUUGCAAUAUUCAAUCUGCAGUAAAUAGUAUUUGGUCGGCGGGUUUACUUAUAUUUUUUCAAGUAUGGGAAAGAAGAUUCAGGAUUUCACGUAAAUACGAUCUAAUCGCUUUCGAACUAUUUAUUAUGUUCUUGUAUUACUUUUAUUAACAAUUUUGCUUAUUUUUGUACAAAAUUUAUAUAUACGCACUUCAAAUCAAAAUUUGUCCCUUACGUAUCCUCUGUUAUCAUCACAACAUUAAGCAUCAAAGUAUUUGUAUUUACCGUAACAUAUUUGCGGUCAGCGAACAACCAAGAGUUGGGUCAGCGGACUUGUGCGGGCUCCAUUCUGAGCGCGCUAUCAGAACGUAAUCGGUAGCGCGCAGACGUAUUGUCGCGACGUUGCAUCGCCGGUACAGCCCAAUUACAAGUAGCUAAGACAGUAAUGAGCAGCAAACGACAUUAUCGGGAGUUUAUCGAAUGUAAAUUUCAUCACCGCUAAUGCUUCCUACGUGCUCCCGAUCAUAUUUUUAUCCUAUUAUAGGUAUCUUUUCCGCAAUCUGUUUUAUUUAUUAAGUUAUGUACAAGAUGCGCUUUAUUGAGGGCUCUUAUGCAGUAAUUCUGUUGACUGUCCACGCCAUAAAGUCUACGCACCUUAUCAUCAAUCUAACUCGAUCAAACUUGGUCUACGUUAUUUAUCGGUUGUUUCAUUCAGAUUUAGUUUAUUUUGUACUAACAAACACCCGUGUUUGCUUUUCCUCAUUCCAUUGUAAAUAUUUGCAUACUUGAUAUUGUCAUGUUGCAGUGGCUUCUUUUGCUUGUCUUUUGAUUAAUUGUCGUCAACGAAAUUCUCGCAUAUCAAUGUUGUUUACAAUUAAUAUUACUUACUUAAUUUUGGCAACUUUCAUACAAAACUGCUAACAUACACGAUAUUUUAUUUAUUGUGGUUUUAAGCAUAAGUGCUUGUUUGUAAAAUAUCAAAUAAAUAAAUCGA